GAUUCCUGUAUGGUGGAGAUGGUAUGCAUGGGCAUGCCCAGUGGCAUAUACUUUGUAUGGAUUAAUUUCGUCACAGUUCGGAGAUGUAAAGGAUAGACUUGAGUCAGGUGAAAGAGUGGAAGAUUUUUUGAGAAGUUACUUUGGUUUCAAACAUGAGCUGCUAGGAGCAGUAGCAGCUGCAGUUGUUGGGUUUGCAGCACUCUUUGCCUUUAUCUUUGCCAUUUGCAUUAAGUUCUUCAAUUACCAAAGGCGA
This 253-nucleotide unclassified non-coding RNA is filed under the name Hevea brasiliensis (rubber tree). The record is from RNAcentral. Lineage: Eukaryota; Viridiplantae; Streptophyta; Magnoliopsida; Malpighiales; Euphorbiaceae.